Molecule: long non-coding RNA, 1055 nt
Filed under: Nicotiana benthamiana
Lineage: Eukaryota; Viridiplantae; Streptophyta; Magnoliopsida; Solanales; Solanaceae
Description: long non-coding RNA (NBEN_LNC028868)
Source: RNAcentral
AGCCGUUGAUCAAAUAAGAUCAACGUCCUAGAUCCUAUUGCCUUAAUUAAAUCAGACGACCCCUUCCCCAAACCCUCAUUCACUCAGACCGUCUCUUUCUCUCUCUCUCAAACAAACUCUCCCCCUUCUCUCUAGAACCUUCUGGUUCCUUCUUCUCCGAUGAAACUCGUCGCCUCUCCGACCAUACUCCUCCCUCACUUCUCUCGAUCUCCAGUCGCCAUGGAACACUCAUGCCGUUGUUUCUCUGUAAAGCUCGAAGCCCAGAGACCUCCGCCAUGAAAUACGGUCGCUGAAUGCUUUUCUUGGGUUCUUUGCCGACUGUUCUCCGGUGGUUUUUGUCCGAUGUUGCCUUCUAUGGCAUUAUAUACGAGUUUCACAGCCAAGUUUCUCAUUUUCCUAAUUUAUUUUGCAAACUUUAAUUUUUUGCCUAAAUCUCUUAAAUCUCUGUCUUUUUAAGUGAUUUUCGGUUUAAUCUUUGUUUUCUACACUACUUUUAACUCAAUAUCUUUUGAUUAAUUCAAGUUUUCAAACGUCUGUACCUCUUUUUUAAAACUAGGGUUUCUGACCCUUUUGCAAAAUCGCUACUUUCUAUUUUUUCUUGAGUAUUAUGUGUGUAUUGUUUGUGUUAUCUUCUAUUUAUUCCGAGUUCCACUUAAGUUUUCUACUAGAGGUCCGUCUUCUAUCGAGUCUGACUCUCCUGCUUAGGGUUAUCUGAUUUUUCUUGAUUGUUCAUCGUCUACCUAAUAUCCUGCUGAUUUUUGUGCAUCUCUGUGAAUCCUUGAUCUGUAUGUGUUGUUUGCUUAGAAGUUUUACACUGAUUUUUUCUAAAUUAAUUACUCCGUUAUUUGUGAUGUGCUUUCCUUACUUAGAACAAAUUCCCUUGUGAUUCUAGUGUCAUCCGUGAUUCUUCGACUAAUUUUCAGAGUAAAUUUAUAUUUUUACCAAAUUUAUGUGCAUGGACACGCUUUCAAAUAUUCAGUAUAUAUUUUCCUUACUUGAAAUACUAUGUAUUUAGCCCUUAUUACGUAAUACAUGCUUUACUAUUCCUACUAUGG